AGUCUUUGAAGUAAUGUUACGUAAUAAUUUUAACGAGCAAGCCAACAAAUAUCGUCACAUUCACUUGGUGAUAAAAGAUGUUAUCAUUUUCACAAACUCCUUGACCACUGGUUUAGUGAAGGAAAACCUGCUUUUGAUUUUCGAAGCCAUUUACUAGUGUCAUUACCAAAUAACUGAUUAUUUUAUGUUUUGGUUAAAAGUUGUAAUUUUUAUGCGCCAUUAAAGCAAAGCACUUAAUUCCCACGGUUACUCAACGGAAGAAAUAUUUGGGUGACCAUUUUUUCCAGUUUGUCCUAGUAUGUGAAAUUGGACUCAGAUCUUUGGCGGAAUUGCAGCGCGGUUUCGUCUUGAUUGAAAAAAAUCCAAAUCUUUAGUACGUGGAAUCAAUCGACAGAGGCCGGAUUGGUCAUUCUGGGCGCCUCAAUCAUUUCGUCCAGGGCAAUAAAAUUGCCAGCGAAUGUCCCAAAUGCCCGGAUCUUUGUCCAACUGAUGGUGAUGGACGAAAACUUGUUGGAGCAAUGACGACUGCCAAAAAGGUAAGGUUUUUUUGAAUACCAAUCAAUACCCAUCUGAGCUUUUAGCCAAAUGAUUAAGUCUCUCAUUACCAAAAAUGGGAAUAAACUGGUUCAUAAUGUCAGGAAAAAGCACGGGGUCAGUAAAGGACCAUAGAAGUCGAGGAAUUCGGCAUCUCGUUUUUUUUUUCUUUGGGGAGAGGGGUCCUUGGGAACCAUUGGGAAAUCAAAUGCCAAUAAAAGCUGUCAAUAUCAUAGUCAAUUUAGUUGUUGUGCGAAAGGCCUUGGUACUCCAAUCGGUCGUGACUUGGAUUUCCUCUUGUUGAUUGAUCAUAUGUCUUUUAUAAGAAAAUGGCAAAAAUCUGGUUUUUAAUUGUUCCUCUCACUCCUUUUGUGUUUUGACUUUUAAACGAGAAAAAAAAAUCUAUUGAACACCAUUGAUUUGUCUGUCGUAUGCGACCAAUGUGGCCAAUGUGGCCAAGGCGGCAGUGAGGCAUGCAGGAUGGUUCCGCGAUGACCAUUUUCAACGAAGAAUACCCGUAUGUCGAAUUGAAAACUGGAAAUUGUUUUAUAAAACGAAACAACGCAUUUUGGUGCAGCAAUGUCAUCUUAGUUUUGGGGAGGAGAGGAAACAAAACAAUGAGUUACAAUUUUACUUAUA
Long non-coding RNA from Daphnia carinata, 1173 nucleotides. RefSeq lists it as uncharacterized. The record is from RefSeq and is a predicted model, not a curated record. NCBI's taxonomy places the organism in Eukaryota, Metazoa, Arthropoda, Branchiopoda, Diplostraca, Daphniidae. The transcript is spliced from 4 exons.